ACAACGAUGACAAGAGAGGCAAGUGGCUGUGCCAUUAACCCUUUGCUGCCCCAAAGAGCCAAUUUUUGUUUAUUUUCAGAGCAGACAAUAGGCAUGGAGUAGUGGUCCCAACCUGGAUGACUAACAAGUUGGCCUUGAUGACAGCUCCUCCACUUCAGCUUAUUAAAAAAUAUUGCUCCAGUUCAUGUGAUGAUCCCAUACUACAAAAAUGUUAAUUCCCUCCAUCUCUCUGAUGUCCUUCUGGAUUUUAUGACUCCUAUCAUCAUCAUUACCUAUGGGCUGGUCCUUCCUUCUUUUAUGAGGCAUGUCAGAAGAGGUGCUCUCCUCAAACUGUCCGUUGUUUCUCUUGGUGGGUACCAAAAUCAUUGCAGUAUCCACUCUUCCUUCUGAUGAGGAAUCCCAAGUGAAGAAAUGAAGUGAUUUACCCAAGGCCAUACAGCAAAUCACGGGCAGCGCCAGGAAUAAAGCCAAGAUUACAGCCACAGAUCUUUUUCAUGAUACACUGCUUCCCACACUCGAGUCCUCUUUCGAUUUUCUGUCAGUUAGCUUCAGUCAUUAUUGGCCAAUGCUAACCCUUCAUUUCCCUUUACAAACACCUGAUGUGUAUAGUAGAUGCUUUCAGUAAGGUCUUUUACUCCUGCAUUAUCAUUUUAUUAUUGUUAAGGAUGACCAUAUAUACAGAAUGCAGUUGGUAUACAUGGAGCUUUGCAGACACCAGAGAAGAUAAGGACCCUGAUCUAAUGAUCUUAAAAUUCUCAUUUGUACAUAUUCAAUACAUUGGAUUGGCCUAAACCACAAAUAAGUCUAGAUUGAGACUUUUCUAAAGUUUGGGGGAUUUGAAUGUAGAGAUUUUAGAGAUCUUCAUGGCUGUUGCCAGUUAUUCUGGCCUGGAAUGUGGUUCUCUGAAGCCAGGACAGCUUCAUGAAUCUACCUUGACAGUGCUGCAGACACAUAUGGUUGACACUCUUUUUGGAUACAGAUCCCAGGCUAAACCUGACCCAUAAACAGUGCUGUGCAUGCUGUACUACUAACGGAAGCCUCCGUUAUAGCUCCACAGCCUCUGUCUGUUUCUGAAAUCAAGUCUGCUCUUAGUCAGAAGCAACAUGCUGUCAUGGUGAUAAAUGAGGAGCUCCCCUGUCUGAAAUGUUAAUAGCCCCCUGGAUUCCUGCAAAUUUAUACUCAUCUGCAGAGUGCCAAUUUCAGCAAGAGAAAAGCAGAGGUAUAUAAAAGCUUAAAUAUACAGUCGCUCUUUAGCCUCAAGCAUGACUAAUUAUGAUGGCUGAGAACAAUCAUUAAUAUAUUAAAUUGUCUGUCUGUAUAUC
Mauremys reevesii (Reeves's turtle) is the source of this 1322-nucleotide long non-coding RNA. RefSeq lists it as uncharacterized. The transcript has 3 exons. The record is from RefSeq and is a predicted model, not a curated record. NCBI's taxonomy places the organism in Eukaryota, Metazoa, Chordata, Testudines, Geoemydidae.